CACACACACACACGAGGCAGUGAGGAGGAGAAGGAGGUUGUUGCUACGCCCGCGUCGCGAAACCAGGGCUCAUUGUGUGUGCGCCCAGAGCAGCUACGGGGAAACACGUGGGACAACCGACCAGUUUGGGGUCAUGGUUUAUUCAACGCGUAUUUUCAGUGUGGUCUAACUUGGUAAUCUGAUCUGAAAGACUUUCCCUGAAUGUGCCUUAAUUUCACCUCUUUUUCCUUUCUCCUUUUCUUAGCUUACUGAAAAUGUUGGCGACCAAAGGCCGGAUUCAGGGACGUGUGCUGCUUGUGCUACUCGCGUUACGUGGGCAAACUGCUCGCUGUCAUCAUCGAUACAAAGGCUCUGCGACCCGUGAAGAACUGAGACUCCUUCUGGUCGGUAAAACAGGCUCGAGAAAGAGUGCGUCCGGAAACACCAUCCUGG
Oreochromis niloticus (Nile tilapia) is the source of this 432-nucleotide long non-coding RNA. RefSeq lists it as uncharacterized. NCBI's taxonomy places the organism in Eukaryota, Metazoa, Chordata, Actinopteri, Cichliformes, Cichlidae. The transcript has 2 exons. The record is from RefSeq and is a predicted model, not a curated record.